Monomorium pharaonis (pharaoh ant) is the source of this 572-nucleotide long non-coding RNA. RefSeq lists it as uncharacterized. The transcript has 3 exons. The record is from RefSeq and is a predicted model, not a curated record. NCBI's taxonomy places the organism in Eukaryota, Metazoa, Arthropoda, Insecta, Hymenoptera, Formicidae.
GUUGAAAAGAGAUCGCAGCCUUAUUCGGACGUGUCUCAACAUUACUCUGUACUUGUUCUGAAUAAAGUUCUUUGGUUCGUUCGGAAAAGUAAAUGUGUGUUUUCUCUUCCGUUUGAAAAAUGGCAGAAAAUAAUAUAGAGUCGUUGAACGCGGAGUGAAGAACAGAGAGCGAAUCUAUAUGGAUACUUGGGAGAAAGAGGAAUAAGAUGUUUCCUAAAAUUAGAAAACGAGAGGAUUUAGUCACUAGCGUAUACAUAUAACAAAGGUGAUUGUAUUCAAUAGAAAUGGGAAAGAGAAGGAAAAAUGGAAGUGGGAAAAUGAGGAGUUAGAAAAGGAUGGCAUUCUUCUCACUCAGCGCUACGUAGCGUGUCAUUUCGUAAACAACAUCCACUGUUUUAUGAAUAAAAAUAGUUCGUCAAGAGCGCGGAAGAAAGCGAGAUUUUGCCAUCGACAUAUAAUACUAAACUGAAAUAUGUCAGUCUAUAAAAGAGACUGAGGAGGAUAGAAUUAUGAAAACUCUUAUUUAAGAAAGGUAAUGUUUUAAUUAAAUUAAAUUUAUUUUAGAUAAAGUA